RNAcentral lists this transfer RNA (53 nucleotides) under Equisetum ramosissimum. RNAcentral's name for it is "partial tRNA-Leu". Lineage: Eukaryota; Viridiplantae; Streptophyta; Polypodiopsida; Equisetales; Equisetaceae. The record is from RNAcentral.
UUAAAAUCCGUUGGUUUUUUAGAACUGUGAGGGUUCAAAUCCCUCUACCCCCA